This 253-nucleotide ribosomal RNA is filed under the name uncultured bacterium. RNAcentral describes it as "partial 16S ribosomal RNA". It matches the Rfam family "Bacterial small subunit ribosomal RNA", at positions 524 to 776 of the family's 1533-position model. The record is from RNAcentral.
GACGAAGGGGGCUAGCGUUGUUCGGAAUUACUGGGCGUAAAGCGCGUGUAGGCGGUUGUCCAAGUUGGAUGUGAAAGCCUUGAGCUUAACUCAAGAAAUGCAUACAGGACUGGAUGACUAGAGGACCGGAGAGGAUAGUGGAAUUCCCAGUGUAGUGGUGAAAUACGUAGAGAUUGGGAAGAACACCAGUGGCGAAGGCGGCUAUCUGGACGGUUUCUGACGCUAAGACGCGAAAGCGUGGGGAGCAAACAGG